Long non-coding RNA from Anguilla anguilla (European eel), 6320 nucleotides. RefSeq lists it as uncharacterized. The record is from RefSeq and is a predicted model, not a curated record. The transcript has 2 exons. Lineage: Eukaryota; Metazoa; Chordata; Actinopteri; Anguilliformes; Anguillidae.
CAAGAACAAAACUUUCAGCUUCUGAGGCAGUUAAAUCCUGGUAUUUUCUACCAUUACUCAAGCACAGAGACCACCUAAAAUAGUCCCACACACACACAGUCCUACUGCUUCACUGUCACAGUGCCAUCAUACUGAUAGGAACUGCUGAUGGAGAAGUGGUCAGAAAAAGAGAAACACAUUUCUGCAGACGGAUUACACCCGACAGACGGAAUAACUAUCAAAGAGUCCGAGAUGUAGCUUCAAAGGGUGAAUCCUUCUUUGACGCCGUGAGCUGACCACCCAAUGGAUGGAGACACAUUGCUUUAUGUGUCGUUCCCAGCGCGGACGUGGUGCUUUGUGAUCAACGGGACAGACGGAUAUAAAUUCACGUGGCGACGCCUUCAUGCUGACCCUCGGCCCGGGAGAGAAGGGACGACAGCGCGGCUUGUUUUAUUUCCAUGUUGCUUCGCGCUGACCGAAGUGGACCCGGGCCAAAAAUGAUUAAAAGCUGAGGAGAGAACAUCGGCCCUAGCGCUGCAACAGUUCUCCGGGAGUUCGAGGUUUGACACGGAGUCAAACACGUGUGAAAUACUGUUUAAUAAAUUUGAGCAGGGGAAAGAGGGAUCUUGGCUCUCGUUCUGACAUGUGCUAAGAGACCCCUCAGUCCGUAAUGAGCGCACAUGGAACUCCAAAUAAACACACAAAGCAAGGAGAUAAGAGUCACUUCAACAACACCGAAAAAUGUGCUACGUGGUUUCAGAGUAGCUGCAUGCUGGGAAGCUAACAACGUGUGAACAGUAUUUGUCUUUUUUUUAGUUGUCAGACAUGGGUUUGCUCCAUAAGAGAUAUUUCACUUCAUGCAAACAUGGUUUUUUCAUUUAACCUGCAGCUCUUUGCUUGCUAACUAGGUUAGAAGACCAUGUAGCACAAUUAAUCAUCUCUGAUUCCAGCACUGCCUUUCUGGACAAGGUCUGUUGUUAUUUCUUUCAUUUGAAAAAAAGAUUUAUCAUUCCCCAUCCCCGUUGAACCAUCUACUGAUUACAAAACGCAAAGCCAGAUUUCAGUUAACAGACACACAGUGCAAAUCGUGUUGUAAUGUGUUGUGAUUUGUGUGGAUGCUGAAGUAAGAGAUGUUUUUUCUUCUUUUUUUAAGAAGAGAGAACUGCAGUCUUCAUCCAGUCUAAUGCUGUAUGUACAAACAUGGCUAAUCACGUCAUUCCUCACAUGUCUGUAAUGCAGAGCCAAUACAAGUGCAACACAUAUGAAGACUUUUUUAAAAUUUUAUUUUAGUUUCUGAUCAAUAUUUCAGGGAUUUAGACAUUACUUGGAUAGACUGCAGAUUACAGGCAUCUCCUUAGUAAACAUUUAGAAGCUGAACUAGGCACCAAACAGACAACUGUAUGUUCCCUCUAAACAAAUUAGUUAUACUUGUUUUGUUCUAUUGGCGGUCAGAUGCUGCUUAGCUGUAGUGUCUUAUAUAGUGUAUAGUGUCUUUGAUUUAUUUUUCCACCUUCAUGACUAUUAUCCAUGUUAUGUUCCCAUUCAACAGUGUCUUCCCUCUAAACCUGAAAAUGGAGAGAAGUGAGAGAGGAGGAAAUGAAGCUCAAUUCUCUCUGUAUCCUCAGGGGCACUGACUCCACAAUGCGAUAAAACUACACCUACCUUUCCCCCCCCAGAUAUUCACUUAAAAGGCCCUGUACAAACAAUGAGAUAAAUGCCUUAUCCCCUGUGUUUUGCUGUUCAGCAAACCAGAACAAACACUGAUCUCUCCUGACUCAUGAUGCCACAGGUAAAAUUCUGGAGUGCGGAGAAGAACAUUCACCAUGUCAGCGAAAACAAUGUGCAGCCGAUAGCCUCAGCCAGGGGGUGUCCCGAGCUCACAUUUUUACAUGUGGUACAUUUUAACAGCUGGAUGGAUUCACGGGACAAUUCAGGUCAAAUAACGUUUGCGAAAGAGUGGAGCGGCAGCGGGAUUCAAGCCAGCGACCCCCUGGAAGUAAAUCCAGGGACCUCUUUGCUAUGGAACAUUGCCACCCGAAUGGAAGUGCAUGGAUCUGUCCGUCAUAGGAAAUAAAGCUCUGAUGGUGACGCAGUUCUUCAGCCUGUUGGAAGAUAAAGUCAUUUAUCUCCUUCAGAUCCAGGCUCAGUCCAGGCUGAGCACUUCAUAGUGAGAGGGGAAACAGAUUAGUUAUCAUGAACCAUCAACCAUUGGACACCGGAACAUUGCGUGGAUGAGACGACCGUCAGCACUGCUGGUAGCGACCUGCAACUCAGAGAAGAAGUGUGCCCGACGGUGUCUGGCCAAUCAAAUAUGGCAAACAGGUACUGUAUAUCCUUCCCUACCACCAUCAACACUAACAACACGGGAAAAUUCUGGAAAUCGAAACUGCCGUGGAACAUGAUAUUAAGGACGUGUGUACAAACAGACAAAUGUCACCGACUGCUACAGUGCUUCUAUGCCGGGCUGCGUUUCUAAUAAAGCAAAGUUAUUACUUCCCUUUUUAGACCGGGUUCUCAUGGAGCGAGCACUGCACGAAUGAGUCAGCAAAAUGAUUAAAUAUUUACCACUCCUGGAUGUCUGGCCUCGUCGCAUUCCUUUUGGUGAGGAGGACGGAAGUGAGACGUUGUCGGAGAGGACGGGAGCGUGGCGCGCGGCCAUGAAGGACGGCGUUUCCACAGCCUAUCGGCGCAUAGCACCGGCCCCUGCGCUGUAGCUGAGGGCCCAGAGGAGUGGGAGCAAUGAGCAAUAAAUAUUAAUGAUGACGUCGUGUCAGCGUUACGCGAGAGAACGGGAGGAAGGAUGGAUACGCGCUGGCUGCCGCCUUCACGAGCAAAGUCAAUUUUUCAGAAAACAAAAGCAGCCCGACUGACGCCUCGGCUGCCGGUUACGGUAACGGAGUUCAGACGGUCGUGCCGUCAAAAAAUGUAAUUAGGGCUGCCGUCCAAGGAACCUGCUCGGAUGAAAACCGUUUGGACUCACAUCAGCAGCAGAAAUCUGUGCCGAGUUUCGGUUUCACCUCAAUCAAGCACACUAGAGCCUGGUUGGCUAAGUUUCCUGAAUGUGCCCUGUCAACAUAUCCGUCCUUAAUCAUGUGAAUAUUCACUCAUAAUGUGAAUAUCCAUACUUAAUUGUGUGAUUUAUGUUGAUGUUCAAUCAUAAUGUCACCAUUAGGCACACCUGUGCAAGUGUCACUGAAGGGUAAUGAUCGAUGAAAGUACAAUACAUUAAGAUACUUAAAAAUGGAUGUAAGAAACACAAGCACUCUUCGAUUAUUAUGCCCAGCACAACACACAGAGGCAUUAUGAAUGCAUGUUCAAAAUGUAUUCAUUCAAAUGUCUGAAAGCAUCCCAGCCUGCAAAGACAGAUAAACAGUCAUUCUGUAAUGGGACAGUAGCUUUCGAUCAGAUGGACAGAGAGGGAAAGAAAAAGAAAUAAAGAGAGAAAAGGAUUCUGUUACUAGAAUGCAGGUUAAAAGUCAUCUUUCAAAGGCAGUAGAUAAUAGCUCUGUAGACUGUAAAUAAUAAAAAAACACACAAAAAGCAUGACAGCAAGCAAAAUGCACCACUGUCACGAGAGCAUUUUCAUCGACGGACGGGACCUAAGCUGAAAGGUCAGUCGUUAAUGAAAUAAUCUAUCACCUUGGGAUUGAGAGCGGGCGCUAACGCAGGUGAUCAAUUUCUAGGGCGUUAAAAGGUCUGCAGCAGAGUUUUCCCGGGAAGUCACCUAGUUAAUGCCGGCCUUUUGAGCGCGCAGUGGGUUAGUACCGUCGGACAACGAGCAGCAUCGACCCUUCUCCCGCUGUGUCCGGAGCCGCUCGCCACCAUUUAAAAUGUCAUUUCCUUUCACUCUGCUCCGGCUUAAAAAAAAAAAAAAAAAAAAAAAAAAACGGGGUCGGAACGGAUGCAUUAAAAACCGAUGUUUGGAAGAGGGAAGAGAAAGUGUAAUCACGUGACCGAGGCGUUUCUAUUGCACGUGAGAGGAAAUGCAUUGUCAGGGAAUCAUUCUAAUAUAUUUACUGCCAGUGACGGCCACUCCAUCCCGCUAAUGUGUUUGCGUUCCAGCACGGGCGCUGGAUUUCAGCGAGAAAUCCAGGAAGGUCUUGUUUGAAAACAAAAGCUCAGAUUGCAAUUUCGACAGAUGCUACUAAGAGAAGCAAUAAUUAUGCAAAUUUGAAAUGGAAUAAUCACUUCUGCAUACAUUAUUUAUCAGGAUUAUUUUUCUUUUAUGCCGUUAUAAACUGGCUAUGAGGUAAAUAAGAUUGUGUGUUUUUGCAACUUUAAUUAUGCAGUUUUCUAUUGUUUGUUUCAAAAAAAAUAUUUAUAAUUUCAACAUGUCUAUAGGGUAGAACCAUGAUAAUUACUCAUUAAUAUUUCAAGAAAUGUUCAGUAAUGUAAAGAAAAUUCCCCUCAUUUGCAACAGUAUUGUGAUGUGCAAUAGGUAUGGGGUUAAAAAAAAAAACACAAUAUCUAAAUUUUAGCUUUUACAUUUUUUUUCUGUUGUGCAAGUACACAUUUAACACAAUACACAAUGUUCAAGUAAAAUAAGAAAUACUUCCAAAUAACAAACAUAUCAGGGGUUCUUUGAGGUAAUGGUGAUAAUUAAGAAUAAUAUAUUAGAAUUAAUGCAGACCUGCUCAUGACUAUGUAGUAUAAUGAAAUGGAAUUAGAACAUGCAAUUAAAAUCCAAGCAAAUUUGAAUUUCCAUUCUCCCAAUCUCAAAAUUUCCUCUACUGCUUGUUUCUGAUUAUUUCACCAAACACAGCAGGAUGCAUUGCUUCUGGGAGCAGAAUAAUUAAAAGCUGUGAUUUUCCUUCCUCAGGUCUUAUCAGCACAUUUCGGUACACCUGUAUCAACAAUGCAUCAUGAGAUAGUACACUAUCGCUCUGCUUUUGUGUAACUAUUGCAAAAUGAGAGAGAAAAAUACACAGGAUCUCCUCAUUUACUUCGGGUUAUUAUAGCCCGAGAACAUUACGUUUAACCAUCUGCUCUGAUUCGCAAUAGUUUGUUCAGAUUUAUCUGUGUCUGGGCCUCUGGAAAGUCAUUGAUUUCAGUUUGGAAUACCAUUCCAGUUCCUGCUCCUUCCGGUUCAGAGCAUCUUUACACUGGGACAUUUGGGGGGGGGGGCGGGAAAUACUGUAAAAUGUAUCCAGGAGAGGGAUUUUGCUUGCUUGUGCUCACAGGGGUAUGUGAAAGAACAGGAUUACUUCUUAAAGGGAAAGACGUUCUGAAUUCUGACAGUUAGUCUGCCUGUGAUGUUUGGACAGAAAUGAAGCUGGAAUUAUAAGGUAUUGGAGGAAUGUUUUUUCAAGCCAGAAGAAAAAAAAAUGCGUGAGGCGUGGAUUUUGAACAGUUGGGAGUAGUGGCUUAAUUUUUCAUACAGAAUUCCACUGAAGUGAGUAACUUUGGAUCAACUUACAGAGCUCAAGAAGCCAUAAAGCAUGAGUAACACUUGUAUUUAUGAAUAUCAAAUAGACCGUGUCUGCUCCACGUUUGACAGGGAAAGAGAGAAAGGGAGCAAGAGCAAAACAGAACUUUGUAUUUCAUGUGGUUAAAUUUCACACCUGGGUGGCAAAAAUCUGCGCUUAUAAAUGCUUAUAGCAAUUUGCCUCAACUUUUCUUCUUGCACCACCACCAAGGUCCUUCAUGCAUGGACUGUUCCAGUUGAUAAAAUAACAUUUUCUUUGAAAAUGGAAUUCUGGCAACAUAAUACCUAUAAGCAAACCCGAAUUCCACAUUGCUGUUGAUGUGGACAAGUAUGCAUAUAUUUCCAAAGGUUUUUAUGUCAACUUGUGCUUCAACAUAAGAGUAAACAUAAAGAUGUAGGAACCUCACCAAAAUAGCUGCGAUUCUAUGGUAGUUUAAAUUGUAUAGUCCAAACUAUACAUAAAAUAAGCAAUGAUGACAUUUGCGUCCACAGCUAGCUUGGGGCUAUGGUGGGUUAUGAAGAUUGGCCUGCUGCCUCAUCAAAGAGCGCUAUGUACUCCGUCAUUGUGAGCUGGUCAUUGUUACCUUUGAUGGGUUCUUUAUAGUCACCUGUCAUUUACGAUAACAAUGUCACUGGAUGAAGCACCAAUUACUUUCCUUUCCCCAGUGGGCUUCUGGUGACUGUAUAAAGGUACUUAUUUGUAAUGCAUCACAACUAAAAGUGACUAUAGUGAACUCUUUCUGCAGAAAUAAAUCUAUAUGGAUAAAUCUUGUUGUACCUGGUUAUUCUGAACAUACACAGUUUUUAAACUGAACUGUUUCAUUAAUAUUUUUGUAUUUUUUUAUUUUUAUUAUUGGUUUAGUCCAGUAUAACCAUGCUCCUUCAGAGAUAAUAAGAACACUGACUUUUGCAAGAA